This 69-nucleotide transfer RNA is filed under the name Bunomys penitus (inland hill rat). RNAcentral's name for it is "tRNA-Ser". It matches the Rfam family "tRNA". Rfam says of the family: Transfer RNA (tRNA) molecules are approximately 80 nucleotides in length. RNAcentral also lists the same sequence under 1 other name. The record is from RNAcentral. Lineage: Eukaryota; Metazoa; Chordata; Mammalia; Rodentia; Muridae.
GAGAAAGACAUGAUGGUUAUGAAGUUGGCUUGAAACCAGCUGUAGGGGGUUCGAAUCCUUCCUUUCUUA